This is a long non-coding RNA of Canis lupus familiaris (dog), 3713 nucleotides long. RefSeq lists it as uncharacterized. The transcript is spliced from 3 exons. Lineage: Eukaryota; Metazoa; Chordata; Mammalia; Carnivora; Canidae. The record is from RefSeq and is a predicted model, not a curated record.
AGUCUCCACGUUGGCGCCCAGAUCAUCCACCUCCAUGCGGAGCUCGCUCUUCUCCUUCUCCAGUUUCUGCCGCACCCGCUGCAGACUGUCCACCUGCUCGCCCAGCUCGGCCGCGCUCUCGGCCUGCUUGCGGCGCAGGGCAGCCACGGUGGCCUCGUGCCGCAGCGCUGCUUCCUCCAGCUCCCGCCGCAGCCGGCCCAGCUCGGCCUCCCGCUUGCGGCACCCCUCCCGCUGCCCCGCCGACGCCCCGCCAGCCUCCUCCAGCCGCUCGCUCAGCUCCUCCAGCUCCCGGGCCACUUCGGCCCUCUGCUUCUCCACGCGGGCCCGGGCCGCCCGCUCAGCCUCCAGCUCCUCUUCCAGCUCCUCUGCCCUAGCCUGGGGAUGGGCAGAUGGCAGCAGUCACCUCCAUGGGCCUCUGGCCCUGGCCGUUCCCACCCCCGUGCCCCAUACACACCUGCAGUUCCUUGAUCUUCUUCUGUAGCUGCGCCCCAAGGAGCUGUUCAUCCUCCACCCGCAGGUUCAGCUGACUUAACUCCGAGUCCUUCCUGGAGGUCGUGCGAGGUGUGAGCCAGGGCAGGGCCGACCUUCCAUCAACCUUCCUGGACAUCCCCCCGCCUCCCAGCCCUCCCACCUCCCUGCUCCCUGCCUGGGGCACCAAGCCCUAAGGGGCCUCACCCCACCCCCGCCAUCCCUCUCAAAUCCCCAGCCUGGAGCCUGCCUACACCCUAGUGAUCCCCGCCUCCAUCCUCCAUCCUCCAUAUUCAACUUCCACAGGGAUGCAGAAGUGACCAUAGAGUCCAGAGGUAGAAAUGGGGCACAGGCUUCGGAGACUGCCUGCAGGCCAGGGGGUCAGGUCUGCUGCCCGCCCCCCCCAACCCCAUCCCUACUUCUUGAGCUUCUCCUCCAGCUGCUGCUUGUCCUGGGCAGCGUCUGUCACCGACUCCUGCGUCAGUUUCAGGUCACCCUCAAGCUUGCGCUUCGCCCGCUCUGUGUCCAUGCGCAGCUUCUUCUCUUGCUCCAGGGAGCACUCCAGCUGUGAAGCCAGAGGGGUGGGCAGGCUCAGCCACCAGGCAUGGCAAGCCAUCGUCCCAGCUGCUCCAGCCCCACUACACAGGUCUCUACUGUGGCCGGGACUCACAUCUUCCACUUGCUGCUCCAGCCGGAGCUUGGCCUUGGCCAGUGCGCUCACACGGUCCUCCUCGGCCUGCAGGUCACCCAGGGCCUGCUGGUGGGCCUCCUGCAAUGCCUUCUUUUCCUUGGUCAGUCGGGCCACUGACUCGUCCAGGGCCGCCAUCUCCUCUGUCAGGUUCUUCACCUGUGCCAGGGUCAUCGUGAGGAUGCCCCUCCCACACUGUGGUCUGAGAAGCCACCACACCAGGUCACAGUAUCCGCCCCUUCCAACUAGAGGGCCUGGAGCAACUCACUUCACCCUGAGCUUCAAUUAUCAAUAGAUGCCAGUUUCCUUCAGUGUAACAUGUUCUAGACAGUCCUGGCUUCCCCUGGGAGCACCUGAGCAAGCAGCCCACUCCCAGCCUCCUUUCCCCUCCCAGUGCCCCAGCAGCACAUGGCAUCAGAGGCCUCUAGGGGCUGCGGAGCUGGGAAAGCAGCUUCCUACCCCUCAAGAGGCUUGCUGGCCAGGAUGGAUGACAAAUGCCAGCAUCUGCAGAGCACUGCCAUGUGCAAAGCCCGGGGUGAGUGCUAGCAGAAGCUGGUUACACACUGAAUUCCCCCACCACUCUAACAAGGUAAGUACUGCUAUGAACCCCAUUGGGCAGAUGAGCAAACUGAGGCCCACAGAGAGGAAGCAAGCUGCCCAAGGCCACCCAGCAGGCAUGCCCUCGAGCCGGGAGAGAGAGAGAAGCCCCAGCCAGGCCCACACCUUGUUCUCUGUGGCUUGUUUCUCCUUCUCUGCCUUGGCCAGCGUCAGCUCCAGGUCAUCAAUGUCCUUCUUGAGCUCCGUGCACUCAUCCUCCAGCUUGCGCCGGCGGGCAGCCAGGUCGGCGUUCACCUCCUCCUCAUCCUCCAGCCGCUCACUCAGCUCCUUCACCUUCGCCUCCAGCUGCACCUUGGACUUGAUCAGCAAGUGGCAGCGCUCCUCCGCAUCUGCCAAGUUGUCCUGCUCCUGGAGAGGGACGUGGGGAAUGAGCCAGCCAAGGGACCCCAGGCUAGGACCUGGAGCAGGAGGUUCAUGUGCCUGGGCAGAGGUCUGACAGCCAUGCGAACUGGGCUCAUGGAACAGGAAUGCCUGUGACCUUCCUGCUUGUGGCCCCAGGGGGCUCAAGGGUGGUAGAAUGAGAGUGGGCUUGAGGAGAUGGGAGGGCAGGGGCAGAAGUGGUACCCUGGAGAGGGGAACCUCCAUCACACAGGCUGGGGACAACCCAGAGGGACAUCCCAACAAAGGCUCUAGGGGAGAAGCUCUAGGCUGAGGCCUUCUCUCCCACCUCAACCUGUUUCCUCACCACCUGGCUGCCUCACACCCCCCUGCACUAGCAGCUGAAUUUGGUGACCACACCCUGCCUUCCCACCACCAUGUCUCCAGAGCCACCAUGAGGCCUGGCACACAGGUGAGACUCAAGGUUUGCGGCAGGAAGGAAUGGCUCUGUGGCUUGGGGAGAUUCCAGACCCCAGGUCCCUGCCACCUGGGUUCCCGCAAGCAGGGAGCAGGGGUGUGUCUCAGGGAGGGCAGGGGAGAGGGGGCUCCACCGUGGCUCCAGCAGGGAGCCCAGAGAGCACUGGUUCAGGAGCAUCAGGACACAUGGACAGACUCUGGGGCGGGGGGGAUGGGUCGCUAAGCAUGGACGUGAGCACACCAGCCACAGCUCCCAGCACAUCUGGGACUGGGAAGAAAGAUCCAGAUCCAGAGCACCCACGGUGUACCAGGUACCCCCUGGCCGGGGAGGGGGUGAUUAUGUAUUUCCUCAAUGCAGCCUGGGGUUCUCUGGGGUGCCAGGGGGCACAGGUCACCAGGGGAAACCCCUCUCUUCCCUUCUCCCACUCACUGCCUGCAGCUGCAGGGCCAGGUCGUUCUUCUCCUGGGUGACACUGACGUGUGUCUCCUCUAGCUCCUGGCGCUUGGCCUCCGCCGUGGCCAGUGCCCCUCGCAGUCCCCGCAGCUCUGCCCGCAGGGCUGCCAGCUCCUCCUCUGCCUGCGCUGAGCGCAGCAAUGGCUUCAUCUUGAAAAAGAGCUUCAUCCAUGACCAGUUCUUGACAGCGUUGAAGGCACGGAUAUUCCACUGGAUGAGCCACCUGGCCAGCCCCGGGGGAUAAGCUGACCCAGAUGACAGAGAAGGCGCUGGUAUUCGAGGCGCAUGAGGCGGCCCCGGCUCCGUGCCUGCAGCAGUGUCAAAACCUUGGCCAGACGCUGGUCACGAAGCUCCUCCAGAACACCAAGGAGCCCAGCUUUGAAGAACACCUGGGGUUAGGAGACGUACCAGGUGUAAAUCCCAACUGCCUGCAUGGCUCCUGUCCACUGUGACCACCCACACCUCGGCCAGCCCUCAGUCCUAUGUGCCCUGACCUUGGUGUGGCCAAACUGGUACUGGGUAUGGUCAAUGUCCAGGGAACCCAGGAGCUUCUCUGUGGCCUUCCUGCUGUCCAUGAAGGUGUCAUCCGGGAUGGCACUGGGGUUCAGGAUGCGGUACCUGGGAGAGCAGGGAAGCACUGGUGAGGAGGAGGCCAGACAGGGAAGCUUAGCAGAGGCUAGACAGAGGCUC